Molecule: long non-coding RNA, 2124 nt
Filed under: Androctonus crassicauda
Lineage: Eukaryota; Metazoa; Arthropoda; Arachnida; Scorpiones; Buthidae
Source: RNAcentral
AAUUUGGGGUGAAUACUAUUUUAUAUUCAAUCUCCUAAUAAACUAAAUUAAUUGUGCGGGUUUUUGUUAAAAAAAAAAAAAAAAAAAAAAAAACUCUAAAGGCUCUCGUUUGUGGGAUCGAUGCGCUUUUCGAUCCGGAAGACGGAUAAAAACCAUGGUCCGGUUUAUAGAUUUCGAAAAGGAACGUUCCAGAUUUGUAUUAAUUAAUUUGAUAAUUUUUAGAUGGAUUUUUUUCGAAGUAUUUUAAUGGUUGGGAGACUCGUACUAAAACUUGGCGUCCAUCGUCUUCCGUUGCGACAUAAUGUACAAAAAUUGCACUCUGAACAUUCAUCUAAAGCUGUUAUGUGCCAUUAAAGGGUCAUAAAACCGUAGGUGUCUUAUAGAAAUUCCUUGCUCACUCCUGCCAAAAUGUUCACUCUAUAGAAAUAUAUGGUUUCUUGGUAGCGAUUAAUACUUUAUCCCGGUCCACCAUUACCAAAGUUGCUCGGACUUCUCCAUAUGAUGGGAAAGGUACCCUCCCCCUCUUAUUACACCUUAUUACCUGAACAUUAUUUGUCAUUACGUCUUAUAUCGCUAGUCCUUCCAGCCAAUCGACCGAACACUCGGUAAAAAGUUUCAGUCCGCAUUAAGAAAUCGCGACUGCUUAAUUCGACUUUGGCCUCUCUCCUCCAUCUGGAUUAGUCGAUUGAGUCCCAGUCUUUCCGGGUGUCCGACCACAGCUUCCGAAAUCGUCGACCACUACGGGUCACCGUCUACUCACCGACUAUCAUCUCCUCCAUAACCAAAGUCGUUGCUGAUGAAAUUUAUCGCUGUAUAAAAUCCGUAUAAAGAAUUUUUACACCAUAGGACUUCAGCCAUCAUUCAGACGGAACGACACGGAUGUUAGAGGUCAAAAAAUACGAAAAUGCACCCUUUCGGACGUCGAUGGUGGUUGGACAAAAAAAAAAGGAACGAGAUAGGUCGGCCACGGAGACACACCACUCUUGAUUUUAUUAGUGUAUAACUUGUUGAUCUCGUUUCAAGAAUAGGAUCAACAAGUCGCGAAAUAGCUCCGAGUUAAAUAUACUCCCCAGGAAACCAUCUUAGCUGACAAAUUACGACGGUUCCGGGAAAGCAUCGCUCGUUAAUUAAUUGUCGGAAUUUAAGAGCGGAUCUAAACAAUUUUUCCGAAGUAACAGCGCAAAUAGUUUCCAAUUUUUUAAUGAUUAAAACUUGCCAACAAAUUUACCUGGGGCUAUAAAAUUGGAGAAUUAAAAUGGGUAUCAAAAUAGACGAUGGAGUGAUGACACUGGCGAAAAAUAAAAUAAGGUGAAGAAUGUAAUCGUAAUAAGUUUUUCGGCUGUCAAAAAGUGAUAAAGUUAUGAUAAAAUUUAUUAGAGAUGCUUUCGCUCGGUAAACAAGCGGCUGUAGAAUUUUCAGGAAUGUAGAUGGAGUAAGAAAUUAACAGGAAAAGGAUUCUGGCGCCAUUUUCCACUCUAGUUGGAAAAAAGAAGGCAGAGCGUGACCAGACGCGUCAUCACUGUAGCUAGUUAAGAUCCAGAUGAAAUCUGAGCGAGAACCAAUGGGUCGCUGGUAUGUGUAAAAGGUAAAAAUUGGUGUUUCCUAUCGGCCAUUGGAUAUUUUUUUUUUAGCCUAGGCGCUCGUCCGUCUCCUUAUCUGGCCGAGAUUUGGCACGAAGAUAAAUUAAGAACUCUGACAAAUCCCGGUGCCCGCUACCCGGUGCUUGAUCCUACCUUUUUCUCUUUUUCUUCUUCGGCGCGGAGGGGAAAUUACAAACGGGCCGGAAACCCAGAUGCUUUUAUCCCCGCAGGAAAUUGGUGGGAGUCCGGUGUCCAUGGUGACGGGAUACCGCUGCAAAUUAGGAGUCUUAACAAACAUUUUUUUCUCUCCUUUCUUCUUCGAGUCCUUCGCCUACCUUCCCACUUACCUGCUCCUACCACCGCUCUCCAAUGCCUCACGUCAAACAUACUUAUAUCACUUUAUAUCUCACACAUCCCUCUGAAACUUUUUAUUUUCACCAUCCAUCCGAUCGAUUCAUUCUUUAAAUCUAUUAAUUUCCAAUUAGAGAUGUAAAAAUUUUAUCUGUAUAAAGUUUGGAGUGAUUAAACCCAACCAAACAUUUCC